Molecule: unclassified non-coding RNA, 233 nt
Filed under: uncultured fungus
Lineage: Eukaryota; Fungi
Description: sequence contains ITS1, 5.8S rRNA gene
Rfam family: 5.8S ribosomal RNA (bases 185-233)
Source: RNAcentral
UCUCCGUUGGUGAACCAGCGGAGGGAUCAUUAGCGAGUUGCAAAGCUCCCUAAACCACUGUGAACUCUACCCGACGUACGCUCCCGUUGCUUCGGCGGACCUCCCCGGAGGGCCGCCGGAGGGACGAGGGCCCCAAACUAUUGCUGUACUUGGCCACUCUGAGUAUUGCUUCCAAAUAAGUUAAAACUUUCAACAACGGAUCUCUUGGUUCUGGCAUCGAUGAAGAACGCAGC